CGGUAAUACGUAGGUGGCAAGCGUUGUCCGGGAUUUAUUGGGCGUAAAGCGAGCGCAGGCGGUUUUUUAAGUCUGAUGUGAAAGCUUUCGGCUUAACCGGAGAAGUGCAUCGGAAACUGGGAGACUUGAGUGCAGAAGAGGACAGUGGAACUCCAUGUGUAGCGGUGGAAUGCGUAGAUAUAUGGAAGAACACCAGUGGCGAAGGCGGCUGUCUAGUCUGUAACUGACGCUGAGGCUCGAAAGCAUGGGUAGCGAACAGGAUUAGAUACCCUGGUAGUCCAUGCCGUAAACGAUGAGUGCUAAGUGUUGGAGGGUUUCCGCCCUUCAGUGCUGCAGCUAACGCAUUAAGCACUCCGCCUGGGGAGUACGACCGCAAGGUUGAAACUCAAAGGAAUUGACGGGGGCCCGCACAAGCGGUGGAGCAUGUGGUUUAAUUCGAAGCUACGCGAAGAACCUUACCAGGUCUUGACAUCUUCUGCCAAUCUUAGAGAUAAGACGUUCCCUUCGGGGACAGAAUGACAGGUGGUGCAUGGUUGUCGUCAGCUCGUGUCGUGAGAUGUUGGGUUAAGUCCCGCAACGAGCGCAACCCUUAUUAUCAGUUGCCAGCAUUCAGUUGGGCACUCUGGUGAGACUGCCGGUGACAAACCGGAGGAAGGUGGGGAUGACGUCAAAUCAUCAUGCCCCUUAUGACCUGGGCUACACACGUGCUACAAUGGACGGUACAACGAGUCGCGAAGUCGUGAGGCUAAGCUAAUCUCUUAAAGCCGUUCUCAGUUCGGAUUGUAGGCUGCAACUCGCCUACAUGAAGUUGGAAUCGCUAGUAAUCGCGGAUCAGCAUGCCGCGGUGAAUACGUUCCCGGGCCUUGUACACACCGCCCGUCACACCAUGAGAGUUUGUAACACCCAAAGCCGGUGAGAUAACC
This 923-nucleotide ribosomal RNA is filed under the name Levilactobacillus brevis. RNAcentral describes it as "bacterial SSU rRNA". It matches the Rfam family "Bacterial small subunit ribosomal RNA", at positions 518 to 1440 of the family's 1533-position model. Lineage: Bacteria; Bacillati; Bacillota; Bacilli; Lactobacillales; Lactobacillaceae. The record is from RNAcentral.